Syngnathus typhle (broad-nosed pipefish) is the source of this 854-nucleotide long non-coding RNA. RefSeq lists it as uncharacterized. NCBI's taxonomy places the organism in Eukaryota, Metazoa, Chordata, Actinopteri, Syngnathiformes, Syngnathidae. The record is from RefSeq and is a predicted model, not a curated record. The transcript has 4 exons.
CCUCCGCUUAUUGUUCGGUCAAUUGUUGAAUACAGUCGCUAUUGCGCAACAGCUACUCGGAACAACAAGCAUAUUCCCUGGACAAGAUCCAGGGUGGAGGGCGUGGCUUAUUGAGCUGUUUACUACACUACAAGAAAAGCAGAAGCCGUCCCUUCCUGUGCCUUCUGAGAUCACACGCCAAGGCCUCAAGCGGGGAUGCUUAUGAGGACACCGAAAAUGAGAGUCAAAGAGGAGCAGCAGCGAAGAAAUGAACAUAGCAGAAGACUUUGAGAAGCUUAAGAUGAGAUGUCACUGCUGGGAGUCUUUAAGAUGCACAAAGGCUUCAAGAGUGAUCUUGAGGUUGACGAUGACGCCAAGCCUUUUACGAUGAAGACAGUUGAGGCCACUUAAAAAGUGAGGAGCACCAUAUGAGUGUGACAAAAGGUCUUGGCAGUGUGCGGCACAAAAGCCACAAAAUGAAAUUCUGAGUAAUCAAAAUUCUAUUUCAUCCCCAUGGAUAGCAGACAGUCCUGUCAAUCCAGCUGCUGGCCAUGGCUAGAUAAAGACGUAGUACGUUGCAUAACGUAAAUAAUGCAAUAUUUUAUUUUGGACUGGUAAGAAUGAUUGAGCGAAUCUUUUUGCAUAACAUGUUUCCCAUCCAUUGAAAAUCAGGACCAAAGAUACACCAUUAUGACUGCACAGUGACUCUGUUAAAUAUUUUGGUCACUUGCCAUGCAUGACAAUAUGAGGAUUUAAGACUUUACAGUCACUGCAGCUGUGUAAUUUUUUUACAGGGUGGGCCAUUAUUUAUUUUAGUUUGGAGUUUCAGGUUUUGAUUCUCUCAAAUAUGCAUUGUUGGUUUUUUUUGGGUUAAA